GGAUUAGAUACCCUGGUAGUCCACGCUGUAAACGAUGAGUACUAGCUGUUGGAUCUGGUGUAAAAGAUUUAGUGGCGCAGCUAACGCGUUAAGUACUCCGCCUGGGGACUACGGCCGCAAGGUUAAAACUCAAAGGAAUUGACGGGGACCCGCACAAGCGGUGGAGCAUGUGGUUUAAUUCGAUGCAACGCGAAGAACCUUACCUGCCCUUGACAUCCAUAGAAGAUCCGAGAGAUUGGAUUGUGCCUUCGGGAACUAUGAGACAGGUGCUGCAUGGCUGUCGUCAGCUCGUGCCG
RNAcentral lists this ribosomal RNA (296 nucleotides) under uncultured bacterium. Its description in RNAcentral is "partial 16S ribosomal RNA". It matches the Rfam family "Bacterial small subunit ribosomal RNA", at positions 775 to 1067 of the family's 1533-position model. The record is from RNAcentral.